Esox lucius (northern pike) is the source of this 264-nucleotide RNA transcript. RefSeq lists it as uncharacterized. The record is from RefSeq and is a predicted model, not a curated record. The transcript is spliced from 3 exons. Lineage: Eukaryota; Metazoa; Chordata; Actinopteri; Esociformes; Esocidae.
GGGAGAGCUCAAAACAAGCUCAUACAGAGACAGGCAGUUGGAGCAUAAUACAAUGAAGAUGAAGGCUCUGGUUUCACUGUUGUUGACAGUGAAUGUGGCCCUGGGUGUACCACAUGGGUUAAUGGAUGAAUGGGUCGCAGCACCAAAACCAGUUCUGCCACUUGACAGUCAAGGCACAGUGGGACAGGGAAAACCAGCUGGCUGGAACCCGGAGACAAUUGUGGAGAGAAUCCCAUUGACACCUGCUGACCUGAGCCCACUGGU